CUCCUCUUGAUUUAAUUUGAGGUACCGUCUGCUCAGUGCAAUUUGUAAAUAGCCGCAGUAUUCUGACUGUGCUAAGGUAGCAUAAUCAUUAGUCUUUUAAUUGAAGGCUGGUAUGAAUGACGAGACGAGAAAAUAGCUGUCUCUAAAAUAAAUAUCGAAUUUUAUUUCUAAGUGAAAAAGCUUAGAUAGUUUUAAAGGACGAUCAGACCCUUUGGAGCUUUAUUUAUUUCAAAAUUUAAAUUUAUUUUAGAUAAUUGAAUUGAAAAUAAAUUUUGUUGGGGCGACAGGGAGUAAUAAAUAUCACUCUUUUAAUAAAACAAUUAUAAUUGGAAAAUUGAUCCUCAAAGUGAGAUUAUAAGACUAAGUUACCCUAGGGAUAACAGCGUAAUCUUUUUGGAGAGUUCAAAUCGAUAAAAAGGUUUGCGACCUCGAUGUUGGAUUAAGAAAUUAGCAAGGUGCAGAAGUUUUGCUGGAAAGUGCUGUUCGA
This 487-nucleotide ribosomal RNA is filed under the name Daphnia lumholtzi. RNAcentral describes it as "partial 16S ribosomal RNA". It matches the Rfam family "Bacterial large subunit ribosomal RNA", at positions 1832 to 2584 of the family's 2925-position model. The record is from RNAcentral. Lineage: Eukaryota; Metazoa; Arthropoda; Branchiopoda; Diplostraca; Daphniidae.